UACGGAGGGUGCAAGCGUUAUCCGGAUUUAUUGGGUUUAAAGGGUCCGUAGGCGGAUCUGUAAGUCAGUGGUGAAAUCUCACAGCUUAACUGUGAAACUGCCAUUGAUACUGCAGGUCUUGAGUGUUGUUGAAGUAGCUGGAAUAAGUAGUGUAGCGGUGAAAUGCAUAGAUAUUACUUAGAACACCAAUUGCGAAGGCAGGUUACUAAGCAACAACUGACGCUGAUGGACGAAAGCGUGGGGAGCGAACAGG
RNAcentral lists this ribosomal RNA (253 nucleotides) under uncultured bacterium. Its description in RNAcentral is "partial 16S ribosomal RNA". It matches the Rfam family "Bacterial small subunit ribosomal RNA", at positions 524 to 776 of the family's 1533-position model. The record is from RNAcentral. RNAcentral also lists the same sequence under 1 other name.